This 333-nucleotide ribosomal RNA is filed under the name uncultured Glomeromycotina. Its description in RNAcentral is "eukaryotic LSU rRNA". The record is from RNAcentral. Lineage: Eukaryota; Fungi; Glomeromycota.
UAUCAGCCUUUUGGGCAUGAUUCUGUGGAGCGUGAGGAGUUAAACGCCUUCAUGCCUGCAUAUUCGUGUACUUUGGGUGUACUUGCCUGUGUGGUUAGUUAACAUCAAUUUUGGUUAUCAUAAAAUGGUUGGAGGAAUGUAGCUUCGGUUUCGAUUGAAGUGUUAUAGCCUUCGGCAGAUGUGAUGAUUGGGAUUGAGGAUUGCAACGGAUACCCUUCGGGGCUACCUGUCUGGUCUCUGAUCGUUGCUUUGGUGCCGAAAGCGCGCUUACGGUUAUCAAAGUCGAUGGUCAAUAGGUUAGAACGGGUUAAAUUCGUUAAGGAUGUUGACGUA